Molecule: non-coding RNA, 1265 nt
Organism: Camelina sativa (false flax)
Lineage: Eukaryota; Viridiplantae; Streptophyta; Magnoliopsida; Brassicales; Brassicaceae
Source: RefSeq, a predicted model, not a curated record
UUGUAGAGAAAAAGAAACAUCAAUUUUUAUUUUCUAAAAUCUGAGAUAUUUGAAGUUCUUUUUCUGAUUCUUCCAUGUCAACAAAAGAAAUAAUAGAUUAAUUUAGAAGGUAAUCAUGUAGAGAGAAGCAUCGAUCAUUCCCUGUCCAUAUCGUUUUCAUCUCCACGAUGCAAGAUUGGAAUGGUUCCAGAUAAUCGAAAUAGGAAACAUAUUGGGGGAGAUUCGUUUAUUACAAUAAAGUCAGCAGGUGAUUCAAUCUUAUCAGUUGUGGACAGCCAUAUAUGAUUUGAGAUAGGCAUCAGAAACUAAACAAUGGGAGUUUUCCUUCACUUAGCCUCACUCACAAGGAGGUGGGUGGAUUUUCUACACAAAUCGCGUGAUGGUCAGAGAGAUUAUCCAACCUUCGUAAUUCUUGUAUCUGUUGACUUGGUUCUUGAGGGAAAUGGGUCAAAGUAUUUCAAGUUAUAUCCUAACGGAUCUUGUGCCCCCUUUAUCUUUGUCCACAAAUAAAUACCAUUCUGCAUCAGAUAAAAGUUAUGUUUUUUCUUCGGAGGCUGUGAAGAUAAAUUCAGCUGGUCUUUGUGUUGUUAAAAUUCAUCUGAUCAAUUCGUUUCUGUGGGAUGAUCUACUAUUUAAAGUCCUCCUGCAAUUUAAGUUGAGGUACCACUGCAUAGAGAAGAACAGUAAGAAGGGGUUAACGUGUAAGGGCAUUCGAGUCAAGAUGAGGAACAAACUAUUCUCUUCAGUUUAUCAACCGUGUUAGAUCCUGUAGUCCUAUUCUGUAUAUUACUUUCAGAGGUUAGUUGAUAUUCUAAGCAAUGACUAAUAAAAGUGUCUGAUACUGUAUAUAUAGAUUCAUCAAUUAGAAAAGGUUGAAGUGCAGGUGACAAAAGUGCAUAAAUGUAACAAAGUACUGCUAUCAGCACUAAGCGUCUUGAAGGUAAUUUGAUUAAGGGACGAACAUCUUUCAAGAAAUCAAAGGUAGCAGCCAUAAUGAGAUGUGUAAUUGGUGGAAGAAAACAUUUGGAAAUCAAGCAGUUUAAACACAAAUCUCGCAUAAGAUCCUCGUGGAAGGCAAGGAAAAUCUGUGUAUUUUCUAUUUAAUUUUUGAAGAUAAACAAUUGGGGGGAAAAUAAUUAAAGGUUAUGUAAUUUUCGAAAAAGGAUGGGCUUGAGCUUGUUAGUUUUGAGUUGUAAUCGUGGAACCCAAACUUACAUUUGUACUAAUAUAGACAGUGACAGGAUUGUAAAUAAGUUGGAACUUGA